CUGAUUAGAAGCUUGCUUCUAUGACGUUAGCGGCGGACGGGUGAGUAACACGUGGGCAACCUGCCUGUAAGACUGGGAUAACUUCGGGAAACCGAAGCUAAUACCGGAUAGGAUCUUCUCCUUCAUGGGAGAUGAUUGAAAGAUGGUUUCGGCUAUCACUUACAGAUGGGCCCGCGGUGCAUUAGCUAGUUGGUGAGGUAACGGCUCACCAAGGCAACGAUGCAUAGCCGACCUGAGAGGGUGAUCGGCCACACUGGGACUGAGACACGGCCCAGACUCCUACGGGAGGCAGCAGUG
RNAcentral lists this ribosomal RNA (297 nucleotides) under Bacillus sp. (in: firmicutes). RNAcentral's name for it is "Bacillus sp. (in: Bacteria) partial 16S ribosomal RNA". It matches the Rfam family "Bacterial small subunit ribosomal RNA", at positions 67 to 356 of the family's 1533-position model. The record is from RNAcentral. Lineage: Bacteria; Bacillati; Bacillota; Bacilli; Caryophanales; Bacillaceae.